Molecule: transfer RNA, 74 nt
Filed under: Chloroflexota bacterium
Lineage: Bacteria; Bacillati; Chloroflexota
Also listed under: 2 other names
Description: tRNA-Gln
Rfam family: tRNA
About the family: Transfer RNA (tRNA) molecules are approximately 80 nucleotides in length. Their secondary structure includes four short double-helical elements and three loops (D, anti-codon, and T loops).
Source: RNAcentral
UGCCCCGUCGUCUAGCGGUAGGACAGCGGACUUUGGAUCCGUGAACCGAGGUUCGAAUCCUCGCGGGGCAGCCA